Molecule: ribosomal RNA, 93 nt
Filed under: Nocardiopsis sp. NRRL B-16309
Lineage: Bacteria; Bacillati; Actinomycetota; Actinomycetes; Streptosporangiales; Nocardiopsidaceae
Source: RNAcentral
CACACCCGGUCUCAUUCCGAACCCGGUCGUUAAGUCUCCUUGCGCUGAUGGUACUGCCCUGUGGUGGGGUGGGAGAGUAGGUUGCUGCCACGG